UAAGAGUUAUAGACUUUUGUCGUGUAGAAAUCUUGUAUAAAUACUGUUCGUUCUCCAAGUCUAUUCACAAUUCCAUUGAACAUUAACUGUUAAAAUGGCCACCUUCAACAAGAUUUUCUUCAUUUGCGUUUUGGUACCCGCCUUAAUAAUGGCGAUCGUCCUACCAGCAGUUACAGCGGAAGAUUCAGCAGAACAUUCAGUUUUGGUGAAGAGGGGUAUCAAUCUUGCUAAAGUUGUGAAAGUGGUCAAACCAGUAGUAAAAACACUACUACCUUUAGUGCUCUCCGGCUAAACCGAACCGAAAUCGGAAUCUUUAUUACAAGUAUAUUAUAAUUAUCUUUGUCAAAUUCCUACAAUAAAUGUUGCGAGCAAAAAUUUAAAAAA
Bactrocera dorsalis (oriental fruit fly) is the source of this 384-nucleotide long non-coding RNA. RefSeq lists it as uncharacterized. The record is from RefSeq and is a predicted model, not a curated record. Lineage: Eukaryota; Metazoa; Arthropoda; Insecta; Diptera; Tephritidae. The transcript has 2 exons.